GGGCUGUAGGGAGCAGCUCUAUGGUCACUUCCUAGAGAUGAGUAGAGUCAGCUAUGUACAAGGAAGAGGUCUAGGGGGGGACAAUUGCCCAAGGGAUCCUGCUUUGGACUAUAGACUUUGGUAAGACUCCAAAAAGGGGAGAAGUAGCUACAGGGAGCAGAGGAUACCCCAGUAGUAACCAAGGAUAAGGGGCAGACGAUAGGGACGAAAGGUUGAAAGAGCCCAAUAUUGGAGCUUGAGCAGACUAUGGUUGCUGGGGAUAGGGUUCCUGUGCUGGAACCUGGAGUAGUGGGCAGGCCCGAGUUCUCCUACUGGGGAAAUAGUACAGCCUGGGCAGUGGAUCAGAAGGCAACCUGAGAGAGUUUGUUCAGAGGGACUUGGACUUUGUUACUGCAGAAGGGGAGGAUUAUAGUGACCUGGCUGGAGGGCCAACCCAGGAAGAGGGUGCAAUGGAGUCCUGAGAAAGAGAGGGACCACAGGGUGGACAACCAAAGGUGCCAGACCGGUCAAGAGCUAAUCCCCAGCAGAGGUCUUCCAUUUGCAAGAGGAAUAAGAAAACAGCAUUUGGCUUGGAAAAAAGAUGCCCUUUGACUCCACUCCUUUUCUUCUGCUUUCAAGAAGUUAAGCUGUUAUGUGACACACAUGCUGCUUGGGAUGCUUGAUGUAGUAACCACCUCCAUGCUGCACACAAAAUAAGUUGCAGGAUUGGGAUCUAAGAAUGGAGUUGAAAUAAAGAACCGUCAGUAUCAUGUGGGUAUCAGGAAGUCUGCACAACUGCUCCACUCCUCUUCUCUGUAGAAGCAUCAAAUGCAUAUUUAUGAAACAAGCCAUAUGUUUAUUUGAGGAAAGACCUUAAGGAUGGGACUUUGAAAAGUGCUCAUCAUUGACCCGAUUCUGCUCCCACUGAAGUCAACGGUGAAACUUACAUUGAGGACAAUGGAAUUACAGCUAAGCCAGAGCUGACCAUUUUUGAAAAUUCCAUCCUAAAACAAAUCUAGCAGAUUGUUUUAUUAAUCUAUGUUUAAAUAUAAAAAUUAAAACAAUGAGAUUGAAUAAUGCUGUUGCAAGAUUUACUGUACAGAGGUCAGUGGCCUGUAACCUCCAGAGGGAGUAUAUGUAACACUUACAAUAACCUUCUGGCCUUUCCGUAGCUGGAUUCUGUAAUUAAAGAGAAAUAACAUUUACACUUCAAGUUUUCCUUCAGAUCAGUGAGAAUGUCAGUCUAUCCCAGUGUUCCCCUACAGUAAUUUGGUCGACAUAAUUUUAUCACUCUAAGGCCAGAUAAUAUCCUAGAGCUACAAACAGAGUUUUAUUUGUAGGUCUGUUAGAUAAGAGCCUUGUCCUUACUGAUUUAUCUCAUAUAAUAUACCCCAUAAUGCAAUUGUACAGAAUUUAUGUUAAUUCUGGCCCCACGGGAUCUAUGGUGGUACUGUUCCAAAACAAAAUUAGAGCAGAAUCACAUACUGGAGCCAUGUGACUUGCUAACAGGUGAACAAAACUCUGUAACCAACUUGGCAUUGGUGAGCACAGGAACGUAGCCCCCGCUCCCACAACAAAUCAUGAAUCACCAGGAUGACUGUAAUGGCUUGUCAUUGUUAUUUUCAGCUGGCAGGACUGUACAGCCCAAACGUCCCAAUGCGUGACAGUGGACUAUAAAAGUCUUGGAUAGUGGGCAUGGUGAAUCAAAUAAGUAUCUGAGACUCAACAAAUACCACAUAGCUCUCAUUUAUCAUAUAGGCAAAAAACAACAACAGCACAGCCAAGAAGCCAGCAAUUUAUGUUAAUUUUAUACCAAGCUACUGGCUGUAGUACCUAUGUACAGGCUUGAUCCUACCCUCC
This is a long non-coding RNA of Dermochelys coriacea (leatherback sea turtle), 1839 nucleotides long. RefSeq lists it as uncharacterized. The record is from RefSeq and is a predicted model, not a curated record. Lineage: Eukaryota; Metazoa; Chordata; Testudines; Dermochelyidae. The transcript has 3 exons.